This is a non-coding RNA of Sesamum indicum (sesame), 1025 nucleotides long. The record is from RefSeq and is a predicted model, not a curated record. NCBI's taxonomy places the organism in Eukaryota, Viridiplantae, Streptophyta, Magnoliopsida, Lamiales, Pedaliaceae.
UUCAAAAUUAUGGGUCCAUUUGACCAGCACAAUGUGGACCUAUUGAGUAAAAGUUGCAGUUGUAGAAGAUGCGAUUUAACAGGUAUCCCUUGCAGACAAAAUAUAUCAGCUAUUUGGUCUAGAAAUGAAGAGCGCUCAUUCUCUCAUCAAGAUGUUAGUUUCGAGCUUCUUUUCCGAAUAAGCUUUCGCCGCCUCCUUUGGAGGUUUUUAGUUCCCCAAGGUGAGUACUUAUUUGAGGUGCUAUGAGCAUGAAUCCAAGAAGUAAAUGGUGCUAGACUUUGGCUAAUGUGUGAGUUACCGCACCAUUGCCACCCAAGAAUGAAAACAAACCUGGGAGGCCAAACAAAACGAGACAAAGACAGCCUGAUGAACCACCUGCUACAACCAACACAACAAGAUUGAAGAAGUGUCCGAAAAGUCUAAAAUGUGGCAAAUGUGGAGUUGUAGGGCACAAUGCUAGGACAUGUAAGAAGAAGAGUGGGCAGGCUGAAGAGAUGCCUAUUGGGACAUCUCAACCCCCCAGCACUCAAGAGAGCUAGCAUACUCAAUCGAUAUCUUUGGAGCCUUUCAAUGCACAAUUUGCUUCUUCACAACCUGCAACAAGAGUUCCAAGAUGGAAAAAAGUGCCUAUCAGGAAAGCUGGAAGCAAAAAUAUGAAAUUGAAGCUAGUUGGCAAGUCAAGUAAUAUUUCAUUAGUUAAUGAAAAUUUUUAUAGUUUACUCAUUCUUCAAGGAUCAACUCUCUGGUUAUCGUGAGAGGAGGGAUGAACUUUAUCACCCUCCUAAAUUCGAGGGCGGUCCUUGGUACUCAACAAACAGAAAAGGGACAAUCUAGCUAUGAUAAAUGAAAAACUAUUGUUGUUAGGCCUGUGUUAUUUAUUUGUUUGUAUUUGUUGCUAGUGUAUUCAGUUGGACAUGAAUUGUUGAUAUUUAGACUGUUAGUAGAACUCUUAUUGUUGAGCUAGUUUUAAAAAUUGAUGAAGGGAUUUAAUUAAGUGUUUAAGUAUUGUUGUCGACAAGUGUAAU